Non-coding RNA from Myotis davidii, 79 nucleotides. The record is from Rfam. NCBI's taxonomy places the organism in Eukaryota, Metazoa, Chordata, Mammalia, Chiroptera, Vespertilionidae.
AGGACCAGAGAGAGAAGCAGGGUCUGAUCCACAGCUUCUGUGGCAGCUGUUGAUCAGCCCUUGCCUCUCUUUUUCUCCA